Molecule: ribosomal RNA, 492 nt
Filed under: uncultured bacterium
Lineage: Bacteria
Description: partial 16S ribosomal RNA
Rfam family: Bacterial small subunit ribosomal RNA
Source: RNAcentral
AGUGAACGCUGGCGGUAGGCCUAACACAUGCAAGUCGAACGGCAGCACAGUAAGAGCUUGCUCUUACGGGUGGCGAGUGGCGGACGGGUGAGGAAUACAUCGGAAUCUACUUUUUCGUGGGGGAUAACGUAGGGAAACUUACGCUAAUACCGCAUACGACCUACGGGUGAAAGCAGGGGAUCUUCGGACCUUGCGCGAUUGAAGGAGCCGAUGUCGGAUUAGCUAGUUGGCGGGGUAAAGGCCCACCAAGGCGACGAUCCGGAGCUGGUCUGAGAGGAUGAUCAGCCACACUGGAACUGAGACACGGUCCAGACUCCUACGGGAGGCAGCAGUGGGGAAUAUUGGACAAUGGGCGCAAGCCUGAUCCAGCCAUACCGCGUGGGUGAAGAAGGCCUUCGGGUUGUAAAGCCCUUUUGUUGGGAAAGAAAAGCAGCAGGUUAAUACCCCGCUGUUCUGACGGUACCCAAAGAAUAAGCACCGGCUAACUUCGUG